This 824-nucleotide unclassified non-coding RNA is filed under the name Hevea brasiliensis (rubber tree). The record is from RNAcentral. Lineage: Eukaryota; Viridiplantae; Streptophyta; Magnoliopsida; Malpighiales; Euphorbiaceae.
AGGCUGCGCCCGCUGCAAAUGUGUAUAACCAGGAACAAUGAGUCCCUCCUCGUUCAAAGCCAAAGUCACUAGUGCAACUUGUAGAUAUUCGAUAGAUGCAAUGAUUCUAUCAAUUGCAUCACGACACCACAAACGAAAAUCAGUCAAAACUUGAUCAUUUCUGCUCCGAGCUGUAUGAAGCUUUUUCGCUGGCUCACCAAUCAUAUCAGUAAGUGCAGCCUCAAUGUUCAUGUGCACAUCCUCCCUGUCUGUUCUCCACACAAAUUCACCAGCUUCAAUGCGUCUCUGAAUCUCAUCAAGACCUUGUAGAAUGCUAUCCCUAUCACUGAUACUUAUCAAUCCCUGUUGGGACAGCAUAGAAGCAUGGGCCUUGCUACCCAUUAUAUCAUGCUUAUAGAGCUGCUUAUCAAAGGAAAUGGACUCUGUAAAUUUCUCCACGGCAUCGGUGACGCUCUCUUUGAAUCUUCCACCCCACAACUUGGCCUCCUUACUAUGCUUUUCCUUGGUUUCAAUCUCAGGUUGAGAGGACCCACCCAUAGCUCUAAUGAUGCACAAACCUUCCAACCUUUCCUUGGAUUUAGUCUGAAGCGUGAAAGAAACAAAAGGCGGGCAAGUGGGUGUUGCUUGGGUAGAGAAGAAGGUUGCAGUUGAAGAGCAGUGGAGUGGGUUCAGUGAAGUGGAGAGUAGAAGUGAGUGCGAUCUCAUUUUGGAGACGGCUACCGAGAGAGAGAAUAGGGAGUGUUUGGUAGGGUUCUUAUUUUUCUACUGGAAUUACUCUAUUUGUGUUUAGGCUUUUUCCGCGGGCGGAGGAGAGGAGAAUGUGC